This 72-nucleotide transfer RNA is filed under the name Urocitellus parryii (Arctic ground squirrel). Its description in RNAcentral is "Spermophilus parryii (Arctic ground squirrel) tRNA". It matches the Rfam family "tRNA". From Rfam's summary of the family: Transfer RNA (tRNA) molecules are approximately 80 nucleotides in length. Their secondary structure includes four short double-helical elements and three loops (D, anti-codon, and T loops). Lineage: Eukaryota; Metazoa; Chordata; Mammalia; Rodentia; Sciuridae. RNAcentral also lists the same sequence under 2 other names. The record is from Rfam by way of RNAcentral.
GGGAUUGUUGCUUAAUGGUGGAGCACUUGCCUAGAAUGUAUGAGGCACUGGGUUCAAUUCUCAGCAAUGCAU